CUCAUUCCUACCAGGCCCCAGGCAGACACUGUGCAGUAGAAGCAAUAGUUUGGGUACUACGGCAUGGGGCAGAGUGGCUGGAAAGAUGCCUGGUGGAAAAGGACCCAGGCUUGUUGGUUGACAGGGGCUGAACAUAAACCAGUGUGUGCCCAGGUGGCCAAUAACACCAACAGCAUUCUGGCCUGUAUCAACAAUAGUGUGGCCAGGAGGACUAGGGUAGGAACUGUCCCCCUCAACCGAGAGUACCCUCCUGGUUCUUCCACCUGGUGAGAAGCAGAGGAGGAGAGCACAACAGAGCAUGACUACAGAUGAAUGUGUACAGAUGUUGUAUCUGCCUUGAGCUGACACAACCUUUGCUGCACACCACUGCAUUGUUUCUGUGGUGAUGUACAACUGUGACAGCCAUGAGAGUGAUGGAUGGAGCAACAGGAAAAUAAUGGGAAAUCAGAGGACAGAGGCUUGCAGCAGGGCACCUCAGCCAUGUGCUUCAGCUGGCAAGGAGAAGAAGGGAGUGAAGAGGACAUGAAUGAUCUUGAAUGAAACAGGCUGAAAUGGAAGGGGAAAAUGAAACACAGAAGAAGGGUUGCAGAGACAUUGACUUUAUGGUGAGGCACGGAGUAGUGACUUGGUAUUUGUUUUACCCCAGACUGCCCAAACAGCUCUAGCCAAGUCAUCCUACUGGUGUGAACAUCAGUUUAUCUUCUGUAAAAAGUUUCUGAGAAAGGAACAGUCACAAAAUAUCAUGGGCCAUGGUGAAUAUAAAACAGAUUGCAACUACCUUCUAAGUGAUAAAAACCAGGCUGAACAACAACAGAGAAAAAAAAAAGUUUUUAUCUGAACAUUCUCAACAAAGUCACACUUCAUGGAGGAAAGCGAACAGAAACAGACAGUGAGAAAUUUGAAUCCAUUUCUGCUUGUCUCCAUGAUGGAUCUAUACCCAAUAUAUGCAGUUGCUAUACUUUCAGGAAGCUCUUGUAU
Long non-coding RNA from Passer domesticus (house sparrow), 978 nucleotides. RefSeq lists it as uncharacterized. The record is from RefSeq and is a predicted model, not a curated record. The transcript has 3 exons. Lineage: Eukaryota; Metazoa; Chordata; Aves; Passeriformes; Passeridae.